This 1935-nucleotide long non-coding RNA is filed under the name Apis florea (little honeybee). RNAcentral describes it as "uncharacterized LOC100864254". The record is from RNAcentral. Lineage: Eukaryota; Metazoa; Arthropoda; Insecta; Hymenoptera; Apidae.
UUUUUGACAAUGACAGUUACAGGCCACGUGGUACGAUGAUUGGAUUUUACGUCCCUGAAAGCCAGCAAGUUUCCAGUUGCUCUUCUCCUUGUCCAUCAACAACCAUCGUUGUAUGUCGGCGUUUCGCUCUCUCUCUGUCUCUCUCUCUCUCUCUCGAAAGAGAGAAGGUAUGGUCGGGAUUUUCAUGGCCAUCCGCACGUUUUUCAGUGACCUAUCGUUAUCGUUUCAUGACUCAUGCGAAACAAGAUCGUGUGAAAGCCGAUUAUUCUUUGCCGCGAUCGCGAAUCACGAAUCGUAUGAAUUUUCGUUCCUCGGAUUCUCCGAAAAUUGAUAUAAAAGAGUAGGGACGACGGAGAGGCAGUAGGCAAAAUAUCGGUCGCACAACAGAGCGAAGAAGAAACACAGAGCGAUGAAAAACAAGAACGGAAGAUCCGUGAACAGAAGAGAAAGAAAGUGCUUAGAGGGAGGGAAAUAGAGAGAAAGUGAGGGGACGAGUCGGGAUUUGCGAGAGGAGAAGAGAUAGAAGGAAACGUUGGUAUAGAUAAACGGGGAGGAAAAUGAACAAAGAGGGAAAGGAAGAGGAAGAUGGAGAUAGAAUAUACAAAGAGGUAUGGAAGAAGAAGAAUGGAGCGAGAGAGGCGGGCAAAGUGGGGAUUGCCACGCCGUUUCGGUCGUCGCCACCGGCGCGCCUCUUCGUUCUACGAUCGAUUUUCCACGAUUUUUCACUCCAGUGUGCGGUGUCUUCUCGAGAAGAGGAGUAUCGGAGUACGUGGUGAACGAGACACGACAAAGUCGGCUCUCGUCUCGGCUCGUGAAGAAGACGCGAUAAGCGAGAACAGGCGAAGGAAACGCGUCUACAAACACGGCACUACACACACGUAUAUAACCAAUAGUCGCGCCUUCUCGCGUGCGACUGUGUAACGUGUUCUCCACAUCCCCUCCUCCUGCCCGUUCUCCCUCUCUGUCGCCACCUUUCUUCCUCUCACGCACAUUUCCUAGCGCACGUGUAUACCGGCUUGCUCGAAGUAGUGUGUAGCGUGGUUGGCAGUGCGCGCGCGCGUACACCCAUGCAUUCUCCCUCUUGCUCCAUCCCCUUUGCACGUACACGUUUUACACACAGCGCGCCAGUGUUUCGAACCUGUGUUUGUCAAGCGUGAGUUUCUCUCCCUCUCCGUGCCUAUCUGUCUGUUUUCUUCCCGGCUGGGAGCAAGUUGGAGUAGCGAGUGUAGAGAGCCGGAGUCACGAUUUACCGUACGCGCGAGAACGUUGUACGUUGGUAAUCGUGAGAGAUAGUUGUGUGUGCGUGCCAACGUUCGUGUUCCUCGCUGGAGAGCAGUGCGUUUUGUCACUCUCGCAGGAUCGCAACAGUGCUCCCUACUGCACGUCCCGUCACAUCGAAGGGAUCAGUUUCGAUCAGGUCUUUUCGUGGUUGAUCGCGAUUAGAUCCAUCGUUUCGUGAUAUACAUGAAUUCUUUGUGUAGUUGAAUUUGAAAUGGCGUUUGAUUCACCGCGCAAACGACGCCUAUCCAGUGCCAGUGACGCCUAGUGUGAGAAAGUUUGCAGUGAUUCGCACACAACGUACCGUACAGUAACAGUUACAUUUUUCUUCUAGCUGGACGAGAGAGAUACGCGAAAUGCAAAGAAUCGCGUGGCGAGCGAGGGACAGGCCGGCCGAUCGAUCGCUUUUCCUCUAAUCCCGUGCCCCCUUCCACCAGCGGAUUGAGGAAAACAUUUGGAAAAUGAUCAUAGUGCGCCAGUAACCAUCCCCAUUCGGGUCGAACGUUUCCGAACGAGAUCGGAACUUUCCGAGAGGCGAACUUUCGCUUCGUGGUUGGAACAAUCUCGUGCCAUGAGACGACGCAAACUGACGUGAACUCCAUUCCCCCCGUGGAGCACGGGCACCACGUUUUGAACGUGGCGCUGCACGCAGAGGCG